RNAcentral lists this unclassified non-coding RNA (288 nucleotides) under Chaetomiaceae sp. RNAcentral describes it as "partial contains 5.8S ribosomal RNA, internal transcribed spacer 2, and large subunit ribosomal RNA". The stretch from base 1 to 71 matches the Rfam family "5.8S ribosomal RNA", at positions 84 to 154 of the family's 154-position model. RNAcentral also lists the same sequence under 1 other name. The record is from RNAcentral. Lineage: Eukaryota; Fungi; Ascomycota; Sordariomycetes; Sordariales; Chaetomiaceae.
GUGAGUCAUCGAAUCUUUGAACGCACAUUGCGCCCGCCAGUAUUCUGGCGGGCAUGCCUGUCCGAGCGUCAUUUCAACCAUCAAGCCCCGGGCUUGUGUUGGGGCCCUGCGGCUGCCGCAGGCCCUGAAAACCAGUGGCGGGCUCGCUAGUCACUCCGAGCGUAGUAGUUUACACCUCGCUCAGGGCGUGCUGCGGGUUCCGGCCGUUAAAAGCCUUAUUUUACCCAAGGUUGACCUCGGAUCAGGUAGGAAGACCCGCUGAACUUAAGCAUAUCAAUAAGCGGAGGA